GAGUGAAGCGGGAACAGCUCAAAUUUGAAACGCUGGCCUUCUGGUCCGCAUUGUAAUUUGUAGAGGAUGCUUUUGGCGCGGUGCCUUCUGAGUUCCUUGGAACAGGACGCCUUAGAGGGUGAGAGCCCCGUACAGUUGGACACCUAGCCUUUGUAAAGCUCCUUCGACGAGUCGAGUAGUUUGGGAAUGCUGCUCUAAAUGGGAGGUAAAUUUCUUCUAAAGCUAAAUACCGGCCAGAGACCGAUAGCGCACAAGUAGAGUGAUCGAAAGAUGAAAAGCACUUUGAAAAGAGGGUUAAAUAGCACGUGAAAUUGUUGAAAGGGAAGCGCUUAUGACCAGACUUUUUCCUGGCGGAUCAUCCGGCGUUCUCGCCGGUGCACUUCGUCAGGUUUAGGCCAACAUCGAUUUCCGCCGGGGGAUAAAGACUUCAGGAAUGUGACUCCUCUCGGGGAGUGUUAUAGCCUGUUGUGUAAUACCCUGGUGGGGAUCGAGGUUCGCGCUUCGGCAAGGAUGUUGGCAUAAUGGUCAUCAGUGACCCGUCUUGAAACACGGACCAAGGAGUCGAACAUUUAUGCGAGUGUUUGGGUGUUAAACCCUCACGCGUAAUGAAAGUGAACGGAGGUGAGAGCCUUAGGGUGCAUCAUCGACCGAUCCUGAAGUCUUCGGAUGGAUUUGAGUAAGAGCAUAACUGUUCGGACCCGAAAGAUGGUGAACUAUGCGUGGAUAGGGUGAAGCCAGAGGAAACUCUGGUGGAGGCUCGCAGCGGUUCUGACGUGCAAAUCGAUCGUCAAAUCUGCGCAUGGG
This 804-nucleotide ribosomal RNA is filed under the name Circinotrichum australiense. RNAcentral's name for it is "partial large subunit ribosomal RNA". It matches the Rfam family "Eukaryotic large subunit ribosomal RNA", at positions 91 to 921 of the family's 3401-position model. The record is from RNAcentral. Lineage: Eukaryota; Fungi; Ascomycota; Sordariomycetes; Xylariales; Coniocessiaceae.